GUAGUCCACGCCGUAAACGAUGCAUAUUAUUCGUAUGGAGUAUCGACCCUCUGUGCGGAGAAGCUAACGCGUUAAAUAUGCCGCCUGGGGAGUACGAUCGCAAGAUUAAAACUCAAAGGAAUUGACGGGGCUCCGCACAAGCAGUGGAUCAUGUGGUUUAAUUUGAUGCUACGCGAAGAACCUUACCAAGGCUUGACAUCCCUAUCGUACCCCUAGGAAACUAGGGGGUCAGUUCGGCUGGAUAGGUGACAGAUGUUGCAUGGCCGUCGUCAGCUCGUGUCGUGAGAUGUUGGGUUAAGUCCCGCAACGAGCGCAACCCUUGUCGUGUGUUGUAUUUUUCACGCGAGACCGCCCGGGCCAACCGGGA
RNAcentral lists this ribosomal RNA (367 nucleotides) under uncultured bacterium. Its description in RNAcentral is "bacterial SSU rRNA". It matches the Rfam family "Bacterial small subunit ribosomal RNA", at positions 790 to 1167 of the family's 1533-position model. The record is from RNAcentral.